UCUACCCCAUUUUUUGGCUACCAUUUUCCAAGCUUAAACUCUUUCUAUGGUGAAAAAAAUUUGACGAUGUCACAAACAAAAAGUGAAUUCUAGCGCCCAUAAAUUUUAAGCUUAAAUACUUUCACUUAUUUUGUUGUCCUUCUUCCUCCUCAAAAUAAUUUGAGAAAAUCAACAUAAAUUUCAAGAAGAAAAAAACACUCAGAAAUGGCAAGAAAUCAUAUUUUCAAUUAUCAAAUCCUACAUUCACAACAAACAAUUUUAGCGUUCCAAUCCAUUUGUAUGUCUUCUCACAUCAUAAUCACAGAAAAAGUCCAAAUAAAAAA
Molecule: long non-coding RNA, 323 nt
Filed under: Solanum tuberosum (potato)
Lineage: Eukaryota; Viridiplantae; Streptophyta; Magnoliopsida; Solanales; Solanaceae
Description: long non-coding RNA (STUB_LNC006677)
Source: RNAcentral